Aethalodelphis obliquidens (Pacific white-sided dolphin) is the source of this 2668-nucleotide long non-coding RNA. RefSeq lists it as uncharacterized. NCBI's taxonomy places the organism in Eukaryota, Metazoa, Chordata, Mammalia, Artiodactyla, Delphinidae. The record is from RefSeq and is a predicted model, not a curated record. The transcript has 4 exons.
UAGGCACCUCCUAGGGGUAUACGGGUGGCUUCUCCAACCUUGAGCUCCCCUUCUCUCCCGGUGCCCCACGGUGGGCGUUUACGGCGUCCGUGAGGGGGGCAGUUGGCGAGACUGAGGGAGAGGAUUGUCCCCUUAGCCACACCGCAGUGACGUCAGACCGAGCCCACUGCUGGGGCCGGGCCUCGGCGAGAAGACCUCGCUCCCGCCCCUUGUGAAGAGGAACUUAACUUUGUGCCUGAUAGGAACGGACAUUCCCAGUCCGAGGGGUACAGGGCCCUGCCCUGGGAGGGUCUAAGUAAAGGAAGGAUAUGGCCCUGCCCUUGAGGAGUCGGAGGUGGGCGCGAUGUAGCCCUGCCUUAAUGGCUGGUGUUUCCCCGGCUCGGAUCACAGCCUACCCCUCGCGUCCGUAUCUUCUGCCUCUUUAGCGGUGAUUCGCGCAUACACGCCCCCUCUGGAAUCACCCGGACCACACUAACUGGCCUCGGGAGCCUGUCCACUGCGUCCCCCCGUGCAGCCGCUGGGUGUCGCUAGUGUCUAACUAGCGGCCCGUGCUCUUGGCCUCGCGCCGGGUGGGGGUGGGGGUGGGGGUGGAUCUUGGCUGUGAGCACGGCGGGGGGUCUUGACCCGUUGAAGUACUCUAGGACUGCUCGCAGCGCCCGCCCCCUUCCUCGUCCCGGGCGCUAAGGACUCCAUUACACUGAGCUUGGGCGACCCCAGCCACACAUUUUCAUACGUCCCUAUCCACGCUGUGACACCGGGAUGAAAGGCUUCGUUGCAGCCUAGGGCAAGGAUUAUCUCAGAUUAAAGGGCGCUGGGGGGACAGGGUGGACUGCAGGAGCUUCAACCGGGAGGCUCCUGGUGAAGGGAGCCUCUUCCAAACUCCCCCAGAGCGGGCGUUGGAGGGAGGGGGUGGAGCGACUGGAGUAAAGGUCUCUAAAAGGGUGCGGGUGUGGGGGAUUCCCCUGCCCACGGAAGGGGAGGGGCCAUUCGGACAAAAGCUCCCGCCUGCUGCCGCCCCUCCCCCUCGCGCUCCAUUCAAACCCGCGAGUAGGCGGGCGGGGGCGGGGGAGUCCCCCUCUCCUCCUCCUCCCCCUCCAGCCCCGGCAGUCCAGCAUCACAGCGGCAGUCAAGUCCCGGGCACGCGCGCGCAAGGACCCACACCUCGGCGGGUCUCACAAUCUCUCUCUCUCUCUCUCUCUCUCUCUCUCUCUCUCUCUCUCUCCUCUCUCGCGCGCACACACACACACACACACGCACCAGCAACAAACGGUCUGGACACCCCCGUCCCCUACCGCCCCUCAGGCCGGAGAGGGCGGGGCAUCCCCUGCCCAGCCCCCCUGCAAGCUCAUUUCACACAUAUUUCCCAAGAGCCUACUGUGUGCAGACAGCCUGUGACCAGGCUGUCAGGCUACAGCAACCAACAAGACCAGCUGGGUCCCUGCUCUGCUGACCCUGGACACUGGUGAGGGAGCAAGAUCAGUGUGUAAACAGAGAAAUAUCCACGGUGAUUUCAGACUGUGAAGACUAAAAUUUCACGAGGCAUAGAGAGUGACUGCAGGGAAGGAUGUUCAAGAUUAAAUGAGAUUUACGGAGGCGCUGGCCGGGGCCGACAUGGCCCCUGAAGCCCCCAAGGCGCGCUAGUCUGGCGGGAUGAAGAGGAGUCGCAGUGUCCUGUCGGUGGCCCGGACCGGUGACGAGAGGCCGCGAGAUACCCCCGAGCCCGGCCGAGCCAACAUGCUCGGGGCUGCCCUCCGACGCCCUCGCCGACGCCUCUCCAUGGGCCCAGGCCUGGGCUGGGCUGAGCCUGAGCCCUUGGACACUGGGGUCCCUCUGCCACCACGGCCCACCACGCUGCCACUGCUGAUCCCCCCGCGGAUUUCCAUCACCAAAGCUGACAGGUAGGCAGGAGGUGGACCAGGCUGGGAGGUGGGGUGGAGGAACAGGGCCACCUGGGCUAAGUCCAGCCACCAACCCUUUCCUGUGCUCUAGGCUCCUGGCUCCCUGUGUUUUGCAAAAGCAGCUGAAACUUCUCCUGGAGCCUGGUGGGUCAGGUUAUGACAUAACCCCGCCCCCGCAAGAGGCGCCUCUUGCAGCCUCUAGGAACCCCUUCUUCCAUUUUGCAGCUGCCUGAGUCAGCAAGGGGCAGGAUUUCGGAAAGGGUUUCAACCCUCCAGUCCCCAACGAUGCUCCCAUAAUCAGAGAGCUGGGACAGGCUAGGGAGUGAGCCUCCCACCAAUCCGCCGUGCACCUCUAUUUCCCUUUCUGAGAGGAUGCAGUUUCUUCAAGGCCUUAAAAGGAGAUGGUGGGACCCUGGAGGAGGUCUGGACUGGCAUCUUUCUUUCUCCUGAGCUCAGCUUCACACUGCACUUCCUUUGCUCUUUCUCAUCUGGGGCCCUCGGAGAGCACUUCAACCCCCAUCUUGGCCCAAGGAUGAAUUUGAAAGCCAGACAGCUGCCACUGUUCUCUGCAGCUUCUCUCAAUCUCCCCACCCACCCCUUUGUCUACUCAGUCGGAGGGCUCCAGGGUCUCUGCUUGGGUCAUGGUACAAUGGUUCAAUUCCAAAUGGGGGAGGAAGUGACUGUCAUUCCCCUCUCCAGUGGUCUAAUGUACCCCCCCCCAAAAAAAAGAAAGAAAAUUCCUCUAGCCUCUACCUAGUUCAGGCCACAGA